AGAGUUUGAUCAUGGCUCAGGAUGAACGCUAGCGAUAGGCCUAACACAUGCAAGUCGAGGGGCAGCACAUGAAGUAGCAAUACGGAUGGUGGCGACCGGCGCACGGGUGAGUAACGCGUAUGCAACCUACCUACAACAGGGGAAUAACCCGUUGAAAGACGGACUAAUACCCCAUAAUACAGGGGUCCCGCAUGGGAAUAUUUGUUAAAGAUUUAUCGGUUGUAGAUGGGCAUGCGUUCCAUUAGCUAGUUGGUGAGGUAACGGCUCACCAAGGCAACGAUGGAUAGGGGAACUGAGAGGUUUAUCCCCCACACUGGUACUGAGACACGGACCAGACUCCUACGGGAGGCAGCAGUGAGGAAUAUUGGUCAAUGGACGCAAGUCUGAACCAGCCACGUCGCGUGAAGGAAGACGGCCCUAUGGGUUGUAAACUUCUUUUGUAAGGGAAUAAAGUGCAGUACGUGUACUGUUUUGCAUGUACCUUACGAAUAAGGAUCGGCUAACUCCGUGCCAGCAGCCGCGGUAAUACGGAGGAUCCGAGCGUUAUCCGGAUUUAUUGGGUUUAAAGGGUGCGCAGGCGGGAGAUUAAGUCGGCGGUGAAAUUUUGCAGCUUAACUGUAAAAGUGCCAUCGAUACUGGUUUCCUUGAGUGUAGAUGAAGUAGGCGGAAUUUGUGGUGUAGCGGUGAAAUGCAUAGAUAUCACGAGGAACUCCGAUUGCGCAGGCAGCUUACUAAACUACUACUGACGCUCAGGCACGAAGGCGUGGGGAUCAAACAGGAUUAGAUACCCUGGUAGUCCACGCAGUAAACGAUGAUUACUCGCUGUUUGCGAUAUACAGUAAGCGGCUUAGCGAAAGCGUUAAGUAAUCCACCUGGGGAGUACGUUCGCAAGAAUGAAACUCAAAUGAAUUGACGG
RNAcentral lists this ribosomal RNA (916 nucleotides) under uncultured bacterium. RNAcentral describes it as "bacterial SSU rRNA". It matches the Rfam family "Bacterial small subunit ribosomal RNA", at positions 8 to 916 of the family's 1533-position model. The record is from RNAcentral.